Molecule: ribosomal RNA, 387 nt
Filed under: Staphylococcus aureus
Lineage: Bacteria; Bacillati; Bacillota; Bacilli; Caryophanales; Staphylococcaceae
Description: partial 23S ribosomal RNA
Rfam family: Bacterial large subunit ribosomal RNA
Source: RNAcentral
CAUCCUGGGGCUGUAGUCGGUCCCAAGGGUAUGGCUGUUCGCCAUUUAAAGAGGUACGUGAGCUGGGUUUAAAACGUCGUGAGACAGUUUGGUCCCUAUCUUCCGUGGGCGCUGCAGAUUUGAGGAAGCCUGCUCCUAGUACGAGAGGACCGGAGUGGACACACCUCUGGUGUAUCGGUUGUCACGCCAGUGGCAUUGCCGAGUAGCUAAGUGUGGAAGAGAUAACCGCUGAAAGCAUCUAAGCGGGAAACUCGUUUCAAGAUGAGAUCUGCCGGGGCCUUGAGCCCCCUGAAGAGUCGUUCAAGACCAGGACGUUGAUAGGCUGGGUGUGGAAGCGCAGUAAUGCGUUAAGCUAACCAGUACUAAUUGCUCGUGAGGCUUGACCCU